GAUGAACGCUGGCGGCGUGCCUAAUACAUGCCAGUCGAGCGAACGGACGAGAAGCUUGCUUCUCUGAUGUUAGCGGCGGACGGGUGAGUAACACGUGGAUAACCUACCUAUAAGACUGGGAUAACUUCGGGAAACCGGAGCUAAUACCGGAUAAUAUUUUGAACCGCAUGGUUCAAAAGUGAAAGACGGUCUUGCUGUCACUUAUAGAUGGAUCCGCGCCGCAUUAGCUAGUUGGUAAGGUAACGGCUUACCAAGGCAACGAUGCAUAGCCGACCUGAGAGGGUGAUCGGCCACACUGGAACUGAGACACGGUCCAGACUCCUACGGGAGGCAGCAGUAGGGAAUCUUCCGCAAUGGGCGAAAGCCUGACGGAGCAACGCCGCGUGAGUGAUGAAGGUCUUCGGAUCGUAAAACUCUGUUAUUAGGGAAGAACAUAUGUGUAAGUAACUGUGCACAUCUUGACGGUACCUAAUCAGAAAGCCACGGCUAACUACGUG
This 497-nucleotide ribosomal RNA is filed under the name uncultured bacterium. RNAcentral's name for it is "partial 16S ribosomal RNA". It matches the Rfam family "Bacterial small subunit ribosomal RNA", at positions 28 to 507 of the family's 1533-position model. The record is from RNAcentral.